GACGAACGCUGGCGGCGUGCUUAACACAUGCAAGUCGAGCGGAAAGGCCCUUUCGGGGGUACUCGAGCGGCGAACGGGUGAGUAACACGUGAGUAAUCUGCCCCUGGCUUUGGGAUAGCCACCGGAAACGGUGAUUAAUACCGGAUACGACCACUUCUCGCAUGGGAUGGGGGUGGAAAGUUUUUCGGCCAGGGAUGUGCUCGCGGCCUAUCAGCUUGAUGGUGAGGUAAUGGCUCACCAUGGCUUCGACGGGUAGCCGGCCUGAGAGGGUGACCGGUCACACUGGGACUGAGACACGGCCCAGACUCCUACGGGAGGCAGCAGUGGGGAAUAUCGGACAAUGGACGAAAGUCUGAUCCAGCGACUCCGCGUGAGGGAUGAAGGCCUUCGGGUUGUAAACCUCUUUUGUAUGGGAAGAAAAAAAUGACGGUACCAUACGAAUAAGGACCUGCAAACUACGUGCCAGCAGCCGCCGUAA
RNAcentral lists this ribosomal RNA (478 nucleotides) under uncultured bacterium. RNAcentral's name for it is "partial 16S ribosomal RNA". It matches the Rfam family "Bacterial small subunit ribosomal RNA", at positions 28 to 523 of the family's 1533-position model. The record is from RNAcentral.